Molecule: long non-coding RNA, 9188 nt
Filed under: Hordeum vulgare
Lineage: Eukaryota; Viridiplantae; Streptophyta; Magnoliopsida; Poales; Poaceae
Description: long non-coding RNA (HVUL_LNC008149)
Source: RNAcentral
AGAGUACGUGCUCCAAACUGAUGCAUUGAUUGUUGCAUGCAGAUAAGGUGCGAGGGCAAGGCUCACCCGGCGUGCUCCGGUGUCCCCGAGACGGUGAUCAUCACGGACAUGAACUACUAUCCGGUCGCCCGCUACCACUUCGACCUCAGCGGCACCGCCUUCGGCGCCAUGGCCAAGGAAGGCCGCAACGACGAGCUCCGCCACGCCGGCAUCAUCGACAUGCAGUUCAAGAGGGUGCCGUGCCAGUACGCGGGGCUGUCGGUGACGUUUCACGUGGAGAAGGGGUCGAACCCAAACUACCUGGCGAUACUGGUGGAGUACGGGAACGGCGACGGCGACGUGGCGCAGGUGGACCUCAUGGACGGCGGCGAGCCAACGGGGUCCUGGAGGCCGAUGAGGGAGUCCUGGGGCUCCAUCUGGCGCAUGGACACGCGCCGCCCGCUUCGGGGGCCCUUCUCCCUGCGGGUCACCAACGGGUCCGGCAGGUCGCUCGUCGCCGACCAGGUCAUCCCCGCCGACUGGCAGCCCGACACCGUGUACAGCUCCGACGUCCAGUUCGAUGAAUGAUCCCGUCCGAUGAUCCAUGGAAGGCAUGCACGUCCAUGCCUGCAUGGAUUUUUUGUGCCAAGUUAUAUAGCUGAGACGUUGCUUGUGACGUCCGGUGCGUGUCCUCAUCGUGUGCUAGCUCCCGCGUAGUACAUAACAUACGUGACAACUUUAAUUAGUUUGUGGAAUUUGGAGUAGCUAGGCAGCUGGUAUAUAUACUACGCCCUCCGUUUCUAAAUAUAAGUCUUUUAAGAGAUUUCACUAGGAGUCUACAUACGGAGCAAAAUGAGUGAAUCUACACUUUAAAGUAUGUCUAUAUACAUCCGUAUGUAGUCUACUAGUGAAAUCUCUAGAAAGACUUAUAUUUAAGAACGGAGGGAGUAUACGGUAUAUGCGCUCUCCUGGCCAUUGCCCGCAGCUAUAAAUUUACGUUUUUAAUUUCUCUUUAUUACACAAGUUUAUUAUGUCACUGGUGUAUAUAUAUGUCUACCCUGUUCAAGUACAUUAAUUAUGCUCUUGUUUGUUGUAAGUUGCGACAUUGUACGUUCUUUGAACGGACAUAUUGGUCCAAGUGCAUUCAAUUUAUACUCAAUGUUCUUUUCAUGAAAAAUGUGUCUUCAUGUUCAAAACAAUAUGUUCCCAUGAUGGUCAUAAUGUCACACUUUUAUCACACAUGAAUGUGCUUUCUCCCAUUCCCAUAUUCACAGUUCUUCAUUGUUAUUUUGUUCCAUCUUCACACCUCUCUCAUCCUCUUAGACAUCAGCCAUCAACAAAGUAAUUAGAGUUUCUCGAGUGGUACACCAUGAAACGACUCUAAUGUCUAUCGGCCCACCUACUCAUCUUUUAUCUCUUCAAUUUCAUGUGAUGCAAUCACCACCUCUAACCAUAAGUCCAGCAAUUUGGAAGACAAUAAUCUGCUUUGUCCUGGUCCUGGAACAUUAGUUAUAUGUUCCCAUUAUUUGGAAGACAAUUUGGAAGACAAUUUCACGUGAUUCAAUUCACAUUAGUUAUAUGUUGUAUCUUAGAACCUAGGUCCUGGACAAUUUUUCAUUAUUUCAUGUAAUGAAUUAUUUAUGAAGGUAUAGCUCUGGGCACCAUUUUUUUAGUAUGACACAACUUUGUUGUGCCAUAUAUUUUUGAUAUUGUUCUUCUUAAAAUCUACAAACCAAUAACUCGCUCACAAAACAUUAACAAAGAAUUUACAUGAUCAUAUAGCUAUGAUUACUACUGAAAUAUAUCCAAGAUGAUUUUCCAAAAGAGACAACUGCAUGAAUCUUUACUUCUGUAGGGACAACAUAUGGAAAACAAUCAUAUUUAUAAGUUUUAGUAAACAACAACAUGAACAUAAAAAAAUGAACAUGUUUGUAAACUGCAAGGGCAGAAACAACAUGACGGGAAAAGAAUUGAACAUACAAAAAUAAUGGAAAUUCCAUUUGGCUCCCGGGCCAAAAAAAUUCAAAUAACAAGAAAAAUGAGACAAUCUUUUUUUUUGUGAUCUUUGUCACAUACAAAUGCUAUUUGUAAAUAGUGCAAGAAAAAAACCGAAGACCAAAUGUCACCCCAUAAUUUUUGUUUUCACCAACGAAACAACACUGCCCUGUUCUGCAUGAAAAUUGUCUAGCAUGCUUGUGACACCAACACGAUCAUCUACAACCUUUUUCAGCAUAUUUCAAAAACAUUUGCUAUUAUUUUCAGGGUACUUCACCGGGGAGCAUGAGCUGCUGGGAGCCAAAAUGCCCCUCCCCGAAAAUGACAUAUAUGUUUACCUCUCAAGCAGCAUCAAUAUAAGUAGUAGACAAUAACAUCAACAUGACAAAUGAACAUUUUUCUGAACUGCAAGUGCAGAACCUGCGCGACAGGUAAAUAAUUGAACAUACAAAAAUGAUGUAUAUUUUCAACUAUAAAGCAACCCUUAGUGAGGCCGCGUCCACGGGGAAACCCUUAAUUAUCAUGAGUUGUAACCCAGAGGCGAGAUUAUGAUAGUGGUGUGCAUGGCACGAAAUCGACAACGAGUUGAACGUGUUCGAUGCCCUACUCCGCCCAGCAUAAUCGUCAACUAUCCGCUUCAUGCUAUGCUUUUGCAUAGUAGUACUAGAAACAUACCAAUGGGGAUACCAGACUCCCUGAGAACACCUUUAAUUCUGUUGUUUCCCUAUCAUUUACUACUCUUGUUUUUAUUUACUUUUAUGUUAUUUAAUUACAAGUCACCAUUUUACUUGAAUCUCAUUUAAAUCCGCCCACACACUUCUUUAAGUCUAUAAUUAUCUCCAGACACAAAGUUACAUAAUUCCCUAUGAGGAGCAAAAGCGUGAUUCAUGUGUCCCUGUAGGAUCGAUACUCUUACUUGAAAAAGGCUACAAUUAAACCAUGUGCACUUGCAGGCUAUCAGGUUUCGGGAGUGGAUCGAAAUCAUGUGGGAUCUUCGGGAUAUGUUAUACAUAACCAUGAAGCAUAAUUUCUUGCUGGAGAUGGAAUUCCUCUUUACCAAAAACUGCAAGCUGCUCAUGCCCACUUGGAAACCUACUCCGAGGAGUUUAUUGAACCAUGGAAGACCAGAAAAAAAGAACUGGGCGGCGAUUCUCUCUAUUCUUAAAAAAAUUCAUGGGCUUAGUAGGGUGUUCACUAGUUUUAAAUUUGAUUGUAUAAGCUGUAAGGCCAAUUUGCGUGCUCUUGUCCUAAUAAAACCGGCUGUGAUUUCUCGACAGGAGUGUGCCUGGAUUCGAUAUUUCUUUGCGUCUGACUUUUUUUGUUUGGUGUGUGUUUGAUCCUUCUACCAUGCGUCAGAUUUUCAUCUUUCUGCUUGAUCGAAGGGUUGUUGAGGAGCGUUGGAUGAGAGUCGUAUGAAAUUUAUGUACGUGUGUAGUAGUGCUCGCUUGGAUUUGCAGCUUUUGUAGACCCCUGCAUCCAGCAUGACUUAUCGCCAGGUGGUGUUGUUCAAAUAAAGUAGAUUCCUAGUAAAUGCUAAUGAUCCGACGCCAGUUCCUUAGCCAUUCCGAGCGAACACCCUUCAGCAUGUCGGAUCCCACACGUGAAUCUUAAAGUGCUCACUUCCACACACCUUUCUGAGCAAACUUGGAGCUGACAACAUAACUCAGGAUGGAAAUCUGAACGAACACACUUGGGAUGAAAAUUUGUGUUUUUACAGAAUGGCAAUUCACCUUUUUCGUUGGUGUAGCAUGGCAACCCUUUAGCCAGCACUGCAAAUUCCAAGGAUGACAAUUUUCAGAAUUUACCUUUGCUAGGCUGACAAUUUUAUAAGUGAAAGAACAUGGCAAUUACUCGGCUGCAACAUGAAAAUUUUCUGACAUUUUUUAUAUAAAAUGACAACUUUUACUUUAAAACAUACCAAAUCCUUAUAGAACAGCAGAGGCAGAUCAUGACGUGGCUGUAGAGGAGUGUGCGGUUUGUACGCAAUGGGCAGAUUGUGCAGAUGUUCCAACAAUUUGUACUAGUCUCACUACCAGAAUAACGCCCGUCGGCAUAGGCCCGAAAACAGUCGGGAUAGGCCUAUGCCGAUGUUGGUCGUCGGCAUAGUCUCGUCGGCAACUCGUACGUCGGUGUAUCGGAGAGCGGCCGUCAUCAUAGAAAAACCGUUAGCAUAGGUGGCUAAGCCGACCGUCUUCAUACAGCCGUCGGCAUACAUACACCGUCGACAAAAUUCUACGUGUGACGGUCGCGCCGCCGUCAAACCUACGCCAAUCACAUACAGCCACGUGGCAUCUGCUGGGCAAUACAGGUAUGAAGCUACUCCGACGGUUACACCGGCGCCUAACCAGCGGCCUAUCUUUGUACUAGGAUUGCCCAGCAGACAAUGGCGGAGCUACCGCCCGGCAGUUUCCCAGGCUUAGCUUGCAAUCCAUUCCUUAAAAUAAUGACAAGAUUGAACAAAAUCCAGUUUUUCUAUGGGCAAAUCAUCAAAUAACUGCCGGCCAUUAGAGCCUUCAUAUGUUGCCCAGGCUAUCACAUUGAGUUGGCUCCGCCACUGCCAGCAGAUGCUACGGGCGCCUCUAUGCCGGCGGUUACACCGUAAUCAUAGAUCCAUAUUUACGCCGACGGUUUAACCGUGAGCAUAUAAGCACACCAGGAAAGCCCAGCGCCCGCCACGUGGCAGCCCUUGGUGGCUCGACCCAUCUAUGAUGAUGGUUAAACCGUCAGCAUAGUUCUCUGUUUUUUUGUUUCCCCUUUUUCUACUUUGAUUUAAAUAAACAACACAACACACACACGCACGCACGCACACACACGCACACUCUAUAUGAUUAUUAAGUCUUUGCCAAGGGGGCAUUGCCACCCCUAGCUUCCAUUUGAUCACGCUUUGAGAUCCGUGCAACAUCUUUUAUGUUUGUCAUUUGUUUAGUCUUUCAUUUGUCUAAUUGCACACGAAUGAUUUCUUAGCACUAAGCGGUAACAAUGUUAAAUAUUGAUACUAUGUAUACGCAAGGAUAUUUUUUGGUGGAAUCUUUUGGAGUUCACGAAAAAAUUAUUUUAGGAAUAUAAGUCUUAAUCACCAAUCAAUUUAUUUGUACUAUUACAAAAGUUAGGAAGCAAUACUAUUUUGAAUACUCUUAGGGAAUCUUUUUGGUCAAGUAUACAUGACCUGACAUUUUGAUAUCCCUAGUUUAACACAUAAUCUACUAGAACCGUAUUAGUGUGAUCAUUAGCAUGCCUCAUUCAUUGAAUCCCGAUGGAGGAAUGAUGAUGGCAUAGUUUUUGCAUGGAUCACGAGGCAUGAAUUAAACGGACAUAAGAUGGGGUGGCACUACCACCUAGAGGGGUGGCAUAGUCACCGGGUGUUAAAAAAUCUAUACUAUAUAUAUAGAGAGAGAGAGGAAAAAUACAUAAUACCACCUAGGGUAGUUACCCCACAUGUCUCAUAUACUAUCAUGUGAUAGUAUAUGUAUUAAUUUAUCAUUGUAAGUAUGUUGAUAUACUAUAUAUAAGAUAGUUGCAAGUGAGUUGCAUGAAAAAAUUGCAAGUUGACCCAUGAUUUUUACUACAUUUCCAAAAAACGUAUAUAUUUGUACGUAAAAAGAAGCAUGCUCAAAAUACGAGACAUACUAACAAAAGCAGUAUAUAUACUCCCUAUUCAUUCUUAUAUAGUAUACAGUACGUCUACAUACUCUUCGAUUUAAUAGAUACUACAUACAACAUACAAAACUGAAGUGACGGUGACUACCACCGGGUGGUAGGAAACAUUUGCCCUAUUCUUUAAUUAAUGCAAAUUUUCAUUCUUUCCAAAUCAACAAAUGUUAAUCAAUUGACAUACUAGCUAUUAAAUGCUAGGUGCCCCAAACAUUUUACCUAGGAAAAAUAAAGAAGAGAAUCAUGUAUGAAAGUUCAACAUCAUCGCAAGUUUAACAUCAUCACAAGUUCAACAUCACAACAAAAGUAUCAUCAUAACAAGAAAAGCAACAAGUCAUGUAAAAGGCAUAGAAGACCGUCAAGUUUGUCAUCGCAAAGGCUUAAGCCACGUCCACCGCCAUCGCCAAAGCCAAGAUCACCAAAGCCGAGGUCACUACCGCUACCGUCACCGCCACACCUCGCUAGACCGGAGUGACUGGGCUACUUGACUCGGGAGUGGAACCAUCAUUAGCAUCACCACCGGCUGAUGAUCCAUCGGUUCCCUACAUGUUUGAAAAGAGAUGGUAAGGCGAUAUAUGAUUGUAUUGACUAAACAAUAAGUUGUGGUUGAAUAGUUCGGUGAUGUACUAACCCGGGUGAAAUAGUGUUGGGACACAAAUUGUUCAAACGUAGGCAGCAUAGCUUGUCGUCCAGGAGGUGGUGGUGGUGGUACCAUUGUCGGAAUCUGCCCGAAUGCUAUAGAUGUAAACAUAAUCUUCGUCAUGCGAGUGUUGUGCUCCGUGGCUGCUGCAACUCUCUGGUUCCAGUCAAAGAGCUGCUGACGUGCGAACUCCAAGUAGACCUACAAUAUGACAUGAUGGAACUGAUAAACCACAACAAUGCGAACAAUAAGGGUCGAAAGAAUGAAGAUACAAGGGAAAAUACUUACAGCGUGCUGCUUGGCUAGGAUGGACUAUGCACUGGACGUACUCGGGUGCUGGCAUGACCUCGGCCUCGGUUUGGUAGCUCCGGUUCGUGUGUACGAGACAGAAGGGAUGAUCACAGGAGACAGAAGGGAUGAUCACAGAAUCCCGAACCGACUGCCGACCAUGACUCUUCGGCCAUAUGCUGACCAUCGCUAUCUCGUUGGUAUCCAUAGACAUGGGGUCUGAUGUGCCAGGAUACCACUUCUAAAACAGCUCUGUGUAGGACGCCAGGUUCUCCUCGGUAUCGCCGUAGUACUGACCCCCACCAGCCUUGCGAUUAGUCCGCGCACGGGCGAGCCCCCACGACUCGAUGUCUAAGAGCGGCCGCUUCAAUUUCUCCUCCUAGACUGCCAAUUAGAGGUUUGUCACACAAAAGAACAUACGGUAAAUAGAAGAUCAAGAAUGUUUCAUGUACAUAUAUAUACCUGAAGUUUCUUGUGAUGCGAGUGGUUCCGGUUUCCCUCACCGUGUGUUCCGUCAGAUCCUCGAUUAGCCUUGUUUGUGUUGCUCUUGGCAGAAAACUUGAUCCACAGAUCCACCAAUCUCGCCCAUCCAUCAUUCUUUCCAAAGCACCAAUUAGGAGGCACCUACAUAAUGAAUCAUAAUGGCAUGUGAACACGAAACAAUGAAAUUUACCACAAACGUCGGAAUGAAAAGUAUGUUAUACUUACCAACAUGUACUGCUCCCUAGUCAUGGUAAGGUUCUGUGCCGCGCUUCUUCCUUGGCUAUCUUCUCGCCCAGAACAGUGUGAUAAUACGUCCGGAUGGCCACCCAAAGCACCUCGUAUUGUAUUUGUCAGAUCUGCUUCCUCGCAGCCCGCAGCACGAACUCAUCGGCCUUGUCCUUAUGCUCCUGAAGAAUUUCUAUAGCAUGGCAACCCUUUAGCCAGCACUGCAAAUUCCGAGGAUGAAAAUUUUCACCAUUUACCUUUUCUAGGCUUACGAUUUUAUAUGUUGCAAUCAUGGCAAAAAUAAAUGAAAGUACAUGGCAAUUACUGGGCUGCAACAUGAAAAUUUCCUGACAAUUUUUUUGUAUAACAUGACAACUUUUACUAUACAACAGCAGAGACAGAUCAUGACGUGGCCGGAGAAAAGUGGGUGGUUUGUUUGCAAUGGCCAGAUUGUGUAGAUGUUCCAACAAUUUGUACUAGUCUUGUUCCAUUGUAUCUUUCGAUGCUUCGUUAUUUUGUCACCGGAUGGAUUCUAGGGUUGUAUUAUGCCGUGUCAUGGACUGACGGCCUCACGGGUAGCGUGUAACCAAAACCUCUAUCAGAUUAUCUUAGCAUGUCCUGAUCGGCUACUGAUGCGCACGUAGCUUAAGAUGGGUAUACUAGUUUGGUAUUUUGGAAGUACAUAGACACGCGAGCUAGCGCUCCACCGGUUACAUGACAAAUCAUGUGGCUUUAUAUGGUCGGCAAUCUGCAUCAUAUGCUGGCUGCCGGCAUGUCAUACACAGUACUUGUAUGUAGAGUGUAUAUAUAUGUGUAUGGUGGAUGAUCCGUAAAAAAAUGUAUGGUUGAUGAUGGAAGAUGUUUUUUAAAACAUAAAAGCAGAGAGAAAUGCAUCUCGUGACCACGGGCAAGGGUGUAAGCAGCCGGUUGAGUGCCUCCAUCCAUGCACAUGUGAACCGGUAGGGCCUUGAUGCCAAUCACCAGUCAUCUCCAUUCAUUCCUUCCUUCUUCCCUUUGAUCUCCAGAAGCACCUCACUGGCUGGCCUAUAAAUUCGCAAUCUCCCCAACGGCAUUAACCACCAGAGUAGGGUCAUCGAUCAGUAACCAACGAGACCAGCAAGCGAGCCAUGGCAGCGGCCUUUUCCUCCUACUCCGUCGCGGCCGCUUUCCUCUGCCUGCUCGCCGCCAACGGCUGCUGCGGCUGCCCCUGGUUUCUCCCUGCUACAUUCUGCCCUGGACCGACACCCGACCCCAUACCUACACCUGACCCCGCUCCAGCUACACCUCCGCCUGCUCUGGCUACCCCCAGCCCAGGCUCCGGCUCUGGCAGCGCCAACGGUUCCAUGGGCGGCUGGCUGGACGCCAGGGCCACAUGGUACGGCGCUCCGGAUGGCGCCGGGCCGUUGGACAACGGUGGCGCGUGCGGGUUCAAGAACGUGAACCUGCCGCCCUUCAACGCCAUGACGUCGUGCGGCAACGAGCCGAUCUUCAAGGACGGCAAGGGAUGCGGCUCCUGCUACCAGGUCAGCCGUUUAAUUAUUUGCUUGACAUUGACAGUACGUGCUUGUCGUUCCGUUUAUCCAGCUCCAAACUGAUGCAUUCAUUGUUGCACGCAGAUAAGGUGCGUGGGCAAGGUUCACCCAGCGUGCUCCGGCGACCCCGAGACGGUGAUCAUCACCGACAUGAACUACUACCCGGUCGCCCGCUACCACUUCGACCUCAGCGGCACUGCCUUCGGCGCCAUGGCCAAGGACGGCCGCAACGACGAGCUCCGCCACGCCGGCAUCAUCGACAUGCAGUUCAAGAGGGUGCCGUGCCAGUACACAGGGCUGUCCGUGACGUUUCACGUGGAGAAGGGGUCGAACCCGAAUUACCUGGCGAUCCUGGUGGAGUACGGGAACGGCGACGGCGACGUGGCGCAGGUGGA